Molecule: unclassified non-coding RNA, 520 nt
Filed under: uncultured Glomus
Lineage: Eukaryota; Fungi; Glomeromycota; Glomeromycetes; Glomerales; Glomeraceae
Description: SSU rRNA
Rfam family: Eukaryotic small subunit ribosomal RNA
Source: RNAcentral
AGCAGCCGCGGUAAUUCCAGCUCCAAUAGCGUAUAUUAAAGUUGUUGCAGUUAAAAAGCUCGUAGUUGAAUUUCGGGAUCAAUAUGUUGGUCGUGCCUUGGUACGUACUGGCAUUAUUGGUUUCUACCCUCUGAAGAACCUCGAUGUCAUUAAUUUGGUGUCUUGGGGAAUCAGGACUGUUACUUUGAAAAAAUUAGAGUGUUUAAAGCAGGCUCGCGCUUGAAUACAUUAGCAUGGAAUAAUGAAAUAGGACGUUUGAUUCUAUUUUGUUGGUUUCUAGGAUCGACGUAAUGAUUAAUAGGGAUAGUUGGGGGCAUUAGUAUUCAAUUGUCAGAGGUGAAAUUCUUGGAUUUAUUGAAGACUAACUACUGCGAAAGCAUUUGCCAAGGAUGUUUUCAUUAAUCAAGAGCGAAAGUUAGGGGAUCGAAGACGAUCAGAUACCGUCGUAGUCUUAACCAUAAACUAUGCCGACUAGGGAUCGGAUGAUGUUAAUUUUUUAAUGACUCAUUCGGCGCCUUAC